UCCAUUUGGCAGGGGUCAGAUGCAAAAACCUUUUGAAGAAGCAACCUGUGAUGCUCUUAAGUUGGCGAUAAUCAUGGUCCUCUGAUGUCUGCCAAUGAUGAUGCAUUCAUUGUUGGUCUUUGUUUUAGCCUAUAGCUCUCAGGAAUUGAAAGUAGCAUGGUGCUAAGACAAAAGUUCAGAUGUUAUUUGAUAUGCUUCUAAUUUAUAUGUAUUGUGAAGGGGUUAUAAAAUAAUGUUGUUACCACUUCCAACGAUGCACAUAAUUGGGAGUUCACUCACUUAUUAUUUGUGACCUAUUGCCUGAUAAACGACAAGGUCGCAUAUCUUCCAAGUAGUGUGAUCGUUUGGAGCUUUGUACUAUUGCCUCUGUUAGAGAUCAGAUCAUAUUGAAUAUCGUCCUGUAUCUCCUAACCCUACCAAGUCCCUGGCAAAGUUCUUCCCAUGUGUAAAAAGAGAAUCUUUAUGAUGGCCAUAGUUAACUGAGAACAUGAUUGAGAAGGUUAAAAUCUCCCAGUCGUCUACUUAUGUAAUUUGUAAACAAUUGCUCCAUAGUGAAGCCACGCUUUCAUGACUUUCUUCCAACAGCAUGCCAACCUUACCUUUUUUAGCAUGUGUCUGGUGGCACUUUUAAGUAUGACCUUCUGCAUCAUUUUCCCCUUAAUGAGAUAGUUUCUGCUUAUGUCAAUUGCUAGAGCAUGCCCUGUUGGAGUGGAUUAGGCAAACAAGCAUACGAGAGGAGCAAGAUGGUUGAAGGGGAUUGAAUUGAAUUUUGUUUUUAUGCAAAUGCUACAAAUGGGUGUUGAAACCGGAGUUGCAUCCUUGCUGUUGGUGGCAUUUGAGGACUCUAGGGACCUGCAUGGACUUGCCUCUUUGGAUCUUAUUGGAACUUGAUCUGUUGCAUUUAAUAUCGUUGGUAAGGGAGAUUAUAAAAUUAUAUUAAUUAUUAUGGCAUCACCUAAGUUUUAUUGAAGAUGUUACAUAAUUUGACCUAUGACAUCAUUGAUCUUUUGAAUUAGAGUAAAGAGUUGAAAUAGGCACUUUUAUGUGACUGCAAUCUAAUUUUUUGGUUGUUGGUGCGCCCUGUACAAAAUUUGCUUUACGUCAAACUGAAACUGUGUGCAUUUAUCUGUAUAUAUGCAUAUCCUAUAGCUUUGCUCGAAAAUUUUUCUCCCAAUCAAGUGCUUGUGCACCUAGAAAUGUGUAUGGAUCAGUUACGGUGAAAAGAUCCUCGCAUGACUUGAUCACGCCGCCUAUGAAGUCAGAAUGCCCUUAUGGAUGUUGAAUUUCUAUCACUUUUCAAAUCAAAAUGAAGAAAAAUAAAUUCCUUCUCUUCUUUUCUCUUUCCUUUUCCUUUACUAAUUGGAUCUUCACCUUUGUUUCCAUUGUAAUUUUCAUCCUGGCUGCAAUUUUCUUAAUAAAAAAAAAGUCAUUAUAGCAUGAAGAAAAUGACAGGUAUUCUGACUUGGAUUAUGUGACAAUUUGUCUUUGGGGUGGGUUUGAAUAAAAACCAGUUUGAAUGUCAAUGUUGAACUAAACUGUAACUAGUUGUAAAUUUUCGGGCAGGUCCAUUUGGCAGGGGUCAGAUGCAAAAACCUUUUGAAGAAGCAACAUAUGCUCUUAAGGUUGGCGAUAUCUGCAACGUUGUGGAUACUCACAGCGGGGUACACAUUAUCGUGAGAACCGGUUGAUUAACUUCUGUAAAUCUUGCCAAAAUGCUGAAGCACCAGUUACAAGCAAAGAGAUGAAAGCAUUGAAAUAUGAUUUUCCCUUAUUAGGGAAAUGCCAGCUUGGUAUUGUAGUACCCAAUUGUCAAUGUUCUGAGUUAUAUAUACUCUGGAGACAUUCUUGCAGAGAACGGAUCUCUAUCAUUGGGAUGAUUGAAUUGUUGUGAAACAUACUGAACUUUGUCUUAAUUGCACUGGAAUUCGGAAGGUUGGGAUUCAUUCAAAGAUUUUGGACUUCAUUCCAAUUUAAAAGG
Molecule: long non-coding RNA, 1978 nt
Filed under: Actinidia chinensis (golden kiwifruit)
Lineage: Eukaryota; Viridiplantae; Streptophyta; Magnoliopsida; Ericales; Actinidiaceae
Description: long non-coding RNA (ACHI_LNC006868)
Source: RNAcentral